This 402-nucleotide ribosomal RNA is filed under the name uncultured bacterium. RNAcentral describes it as "bacterial SSU rRNA". It matches the Rfam family "Bacterial small subunit ribosomal RNA", at positions 355 to 774 of the family's 1533-position model. The record is from RNAcentral.
UGGGGAAUCUUGCACAAUGGGGGCAACCCUGAUGCAGCGACGCCGCGUGAGCGAUGAAGCCCUUCGGGGCGUAAAGCUCUUUCGACCGGAACGAUAAUGACGGUACCGGGAGAAGAAGCUGCGGCUAACUACGUGCCAGCAGCCGCGGUAAUACGUAGGCAGCAAGCGUUGUUCGGAGUUACUGGGCGUAAAGAGUGCGUAGGCGGUUUUCUAAGUUCGGUGUGAAAUCUCCCGGCUUAACUGGGAGGGUGCGCCGAAGACCGGGAAGCUGGAGUGUGGGAAAGGCAGGCGGAAUUCCUGGUGGAGCGGUGAAAUGCGUAGAUAUCAGGAGGAACACCGGCGGUGUAGACGGCUUGCUAAACCAUAACUGACGCUGAGGCACGAAAGCGUGGGUAGCAAACA